GAUGAACGCUGGCGGCGUGCCUAAUACAUGCAAGUCGAGCGAACAGACGAGGAGCUUGCUCCUCUGACGUUAGCGGCGGACGGGUGAGUAACACGUGGAUAACCUACCUAUAAGACUGGGAUAACUUCGGGAAACCGGAGCUAAUACCGGAUAAUAUAUUGAACCGCAUGGUUCAAUAGUGAAAUACGGUUUUGCUGUCACAUAUAGAUGGAUCCGCGCCGCAUUAGCUAGUUGGUAAGGUAACGGCUUACCAAGGCAACGAUGCGUAGCCGACCUGAGAGCGUGAUCCGCCACACUGGAACUGAGACACGGUCCAGACUCCUACGGGGGGCAGCAGUAGGGAAUCUUACGCAAUGGGCGAAAGCCUGACGGAGCAACGCCGCGUGAGUGAUGAAGGUCUUCGGAUCGUAAAACUCUGUUAUUAGGGAAGAACAAAUGUGUAAGUAACUAUGCACGUCUUGACGGUACCUAAUCAGAAAGCCACGGCUAACUACGUG
RNAcentral lists this ribosomal RNA (497 nucleotides) under uncultured bacterium. RNAcentral's name for it is "partial 16S ribosomal RNA". It matches the Rfam family "Bacterial small subunit ribosomal RNA", at positions 28 to 507 of the family's 1533-position model. The record is from RNAcentral.